This 442-nucleotide ribosomal RNA is filed under the name uncultured bacterium. RNAcentral's name for it is "partial 16S ribosomal RNA". It matches the Rfam family "Bacterial small subunit ribosomal RNA", at positions 338 to 795 of the family's 1533-position model. The record is from RNAcentral.
CCUACGGGGGGCAGCAGUGGGGGAUCUUGCACAAUGGGGGAAACCCUGAUGCAGCGACGCCGCGUGGGCGAAGAAGUAUUUCGGUAUGUAAAGCCCUAUCAGCAGGGACGAAGAAAUGACGGUACCUGAGUAAGAAGCACCGGCUAAAUACGUGCCAGGAGCCGCGGUAAUUCGUAUGGUGCAAGCGUUUUCCGGAUUUACUGGGUGUAAAGGGAGGGCGGGCGGCACGUCAAGUCUGAUGUGAAAGCCCGCGGCCCAACCGCGGGACUGAAAUGGAAACUACCGGGCUGGAGUGCCGGAGAGGUAGGCGGAAUUCCUAGUGUAGCGGUGAAAUGCGUAGAUAUUAGGAGGAACACCAGUGGCGAAGGCGGCCUGCUGGACGGUGACUGACGCUGAGGCUCGAAAGCGUGGGGAGCAAACAGGAUUAGAUACCCGAGUAGUC